GAUCAAGAAGUUCAGCCUCUAAGCCCUUCGGCAGGCUGACUGGCAACCGCGCAACGCACACGGUGCCCCCGAAGGAAGAUCCGCUCUGUACUCAAAAGACUGCAGAGAAGAGCGAUUA
Molecule: non-coding RNA, 118 nt
Filed under: Corynebacterium efficiens
Lineage: Bacteria; Bacillati; Actinomycetota; Actinomycetes; Mycobacteriales; Corynebacteriaceae
Also listed under: 1 other name
Description: SAM-IV sequence
Rfam family: SAM (S-adenosyl methionine) riboswitch aptamer
About the family: SAM-IV is a mRNA element that regulates gene expression via direct sensing of S-adenosylmethionine (SAM or AdoMet). SAM-IV riboswitches share conserved nucleotide positions with the previously described SAM-I riboswitches sequence analysis and molecular recognition experiments suggest that SAM-I and SAM-IV riboswitches share similar ligand binding sites, but have different scaffolds.
Source: RNAcentral